CUUUGCUUGAGCUGGAAGGAAAUAUGGUUCAUGGGAUCCAGUUACCUCAUGCACUGAAAGUAAGCAGAGAAAGUUGCCCGGGAGGACCCGACAAGCUCUGCCUCCUGGUUUUCCAGGGCCCUUGCUGGAGGAAGGAAUGGGCAGAGCCCGGGAAUACUCUCAAGUGAACACCCUGCUCAUGGAAUCCAUUGGAAAAUCAGCUCACUGUAAUAAUGGAGGCAUUGAUGAUAGUGGUGGUAAUGGUGAUGAUUAAGUUUCAGACUGGUGGUCUCCAUGACUAUGAGAUAUGCAUGACUAUGCAUACUGAGUUCCAGGAGAGAGAGAAAUCAGGCUGAGCAAGUCAUAGUGCACAAGCCAGUACACAGCACUCAUCCAUGGUCUCUGCUUCAGUUCCUGCCUCAGGUUCCUGCCUUGAGUUUCUGCCUUG
Molecule: long non-coding RNA, 427 nt
Organism: Microtus oregoni (creeping vole)
Lineage: Eukaryota; Metazoa; Chordata; Mammalia; Rodentia; Cricetidae
Exons: 3
Source: RefSeq, a predicted model, not a curated record